GACGAACGCUGGCGGCGUGCUUAACACAUGCAAGUCGAACGGCAAGGCCCUGCUUUUGUGGGGUGCUCGAGUGGCGAACGGGUGAGUAACACGUGAGUAACCUGCCCUUGACUUUGGGAUAACUUCAGGAAACUGGGGCUAAUACCUGAUAGGAGCUCCUGCUGCAUGGUGGGGGUUGGAAAUUUUCGGCGGUUGGGGAUGGACUCGCGGCUUAUCAGCUUGUUGGUGGGGUAGUGUCUUACCAAGGCUUUGACGGGUAGCCGGCCUGAGAGGGUGACCGGCCACAUUGGGACUGAGAUACGGCCCAGACUCCUACGGGAGGCAGCAGUGAGGAAUAUUGGACAAUGGGCGGAAGCCUGAUGCAGCAACGCCGCGUGCGGGAUGACGGCCUUCGGGUUGUAAACCGCUUUCGCCUGUGACGAAGCGUGAGUGACGGUAAUGGGUAAAGAAGCACCGGCUAACUACGUG
This 468-nucleotide ribosomal RNA is filed under the name uncultured bacterium. Its description in RNAcentral is "partial 16S ribosomal RNA". It matches the Rfam family "Bacterial small subunit ribosomal RNA", at positions 28 to 507 of the family's 1533-position model. The record is from RNAcentral.